This 492-nucleotide ribosomal RNA is filed under the name uncultured bacterium. RNAcentral's name for it is "partial 16S ribosomal RNA". It matches the Rfam family "Bacterial small subunit ribosomal RNA", at positions 29 to 507 of the family's 1533-position model. The record is from RNAcentral.
AGUGAACGCUGGCGGUAGGCCUAACACAUGCAAGUCGAACGGCAGCACAGUAAGAGCUUGCUCUUACGGGUGGCGAGUGGCGGACGGGUGAGGAAUACAUCGGAAUCUACUUUUUCGUGGGGGAUAACGUAGGGAAACUUACGCUAAUACCGCAUACGACCUACGGGUGAAAGCAGGGGAUCUUCGGACCUUGCGCGAUUGAAUGAGCCGAUGUCGGAUUAGCUAGUUGGCGGGGUAAAGGCCCACCAAGGCAACGAUCCGUAGCUGGUCUGAGAGGAUGAUCAGCCACACUGGAACUGAGACACGGUCCAGACUCCUACGGGAGGCAGCAGUGGGGAAUAUUGCGCAAUGGGCGAAAGCCUGAUCCAGCCAUACCGCGUGAGUGAAGAAGGCCUUCGGGUUGUAAAGCCCUUUUGUUGGGAAAGAAAAGCAGCAGGUUAAUACCCCGAUGUUCUGACGGUACCCAAAGAAUAAGCACCGGCUAACUUCGUG